CUCAAACAAAACCCCUUAGAAAAACUCACCAUUGAUAUCCAUCUACUCAUAAAAGAAAAAAUGGCAAUUCUCACCUUCUCCUUGUGUUGUUCCAAACUCCCCUCAAAUCAAAAAACUCACACUCUCCAUCAUCAAUCAACUCGACAUGUUUCUCUAAAAUCACCUGACAUACAGAAAAAUAGUUUCAUAUCUUUAGGUGAAUCAUUUUCAAGAGCAAGUUUUCUUGCCAUUGUUUCUGCCUCGCUCGUUUUUGCAUCAAAUCCCGCUUUAGCAUUCAAAGGCGGAGGUCCAUACGGAGCUGGAGUAACAAGAGGCCAAGAUCUUACAGCUAAAGAUUUCAGUGGACAAACAUUAAUCAAGCAAGAUUUCAAAACUUCUAUACUCAGACAAGCUAAUUUUAAAGGUGCUAAGUUACUCGGAGCUAGCUUCUUUGAUGCUGAUUUAACUGGUGCUGACCUUUCUGAUGCUGAUCUUAGAGGUGCUGAUUUUUCGUUAGCUAAUGUGACGAAGGCGAAUUUAAGUAAUGCUAACUUGGAAGGAGCACUUGCAACUGGCAAUACAUCUUUUAAGGGGUCGAUUAUACAAGGAGCAGAUUUUACCGAUGUCCCUUUAAGAGAAGAUCAACGCGAAUAUCUUUGUAAAGUUGCUGAUGGGGUGAAUCCAGUAACCGGUAAUGCAACACGAGAGACAUUGCUUUGCGAAUAGUUAAGCUUUGGAACCUUGAACUUUUUAAAGGGAGUAGGUAAUAUCACUUCUCCACUUAUGCCCUCUUAUCACAAAAGGUUCAAGAUUCCAAAGCGUAGCUAUAAAGGAGGGUAUUGGACCAGCAUUAGUUCGAGCAGCAAAGUACCUUACAUGGAUUAGAAAUUGUAUUUCACUGGGAAAAGUACCAUCAAUGUUGAUGGCUUCUGAAUUCAACAAUUUAACAAGUUUGAACCUGUCAAAGAUGAAGGAGAUAUCAUGCUGCCAUAACUAGCUAUCCUGAUUGAUCUCAUUGAAUAGUAAAGGCACCACUUCAAGUGAGAUUGCAGCCAUACACCAAUCUGAUCCUGAAGAGAGAUGACAAGUCCCGGCCUUCAUUCACUGCUAGAGAGUGGUGGGAGGAGUGCAAAAUCGAGCUCAACCAGUAUCCACAUAUCAGCUUCAGAUGACAUAGUUAUAUGAGCUCACUCUUUACCAUGGCUCUCUAUCUUGGCCUGCCCUUAAACCCCACCAAGCCAAGUGCUGCAACAAACCUCUGCAUUGAUGGUCCAGCAGGAUCUAUGGAUCUUAUGACUUCCUCGUUCAACAUUCCUCUUUUCCUGUGUAGUUGGCUUUGCCCAGAAACUGGAUAGUAGGCAUAAAGGAUAAAAGCAGCAGUGUAAUGAAUAAGGAUAUUAGCCGCUGGAUCACUAAAUGGUGUAAGUCAGGUGCCAUUACACCAGUGGUGAUAUUAGCUGCUAGCUUUAUAUAUAUCUAUAGUUUUGCAUGCCUUUAUUUGUUUUGAGUAUUUAUCACUAAAUGGAUUUUCUUACCUCUUUCGAGAAAGUAAUGUCUUGAGAACAGAAAGUUUGUUUCAUUGCCAAGUUUGUAGCUUAGUCAUUG
Molecule: RNA transcript, 1584 nt
Organism: Capsicum annuum
Lineage: Eukaryota; Viridiplantae; Streptophyta; Magnoliopsida; Solanales; Solanaceae
Gene name: thylakoid lumenal 15 kDa protein 1, chloroplastic
Exons: 3
Source: RefSeq, a predicted model, not a curated record